UGUUUAUCAAAAACACAGGACUCUGCCAACUCGCAAGAGGAUGUAUAGAGUCUGACGCUUGCCCGGUGUCGGUAGGUUAAGGAAGGAGGUUAGCCGUAAGGCGAAGCUUGCGACCGAAGCCCCGAUAAACGGCGGCCGUAACUAUGACGGUCCUAAGGUAGCGAAGUUCCUUGUCGGGUAAGUUCCGACCUGCAUGAAUAGCGUAACGACUGGAAUACUGUCUCAACCAGAGACCCGGUGAAAUUGUAGCCGAGGUGAAGAUGCCUCGUACCCGCACUGAGACGGAAAGACCCCGUGAACCUUUACUGUAGGCUGAUAUUGGGCUGAGACACACUUUGUGUAGGAUAGGUGGGAGGCUAUGAUCCGGGCACGCAAGUGUUCGGGGAGCCGUCGUUGAAUACCACCCUGAGUAUGUUUUAGUUCUAACCUCGAUUCCCGUGGAAAACCGGGGCGGGGGAACAGUGUCAGUUGGGCAGUUUGACUGGGGCGGUCUCCUCCAAAAGAGUAACGGAGGAGUUCAAAGGUACCCUCAGCCUGG
Molecule: ribosomal RNA, 538 nt
Filed under: uncultured bacterium
Lineage: Bacteria
Description: bacterial LSU rRNA
Rfam family: Bacterial large subunit ribosomal RNA
Source: RNAcentral